RNAcentral lists this microRNA precursor (131 nucleotides) under Oryza brachyantha (malo sina). RNAcentral describes it as "pre miRNA mir-166". It matches the Rfam family "mir-166 microRNA precursor family". Rfam says of the family: This family represents the plant microRNA (miRNA) precursor mir-166. Animal miRNAs are transcribed as ~70nt precursors and subsequently processed by the Dicer enzyme to give a ~22nt product. The record is from Rfam by way of RNAcentral. Lineage: Eukaryota; Viridiplantae; Streptophyta; Magnoliopsida; Poales; Poaceae.
GUUAAGGGGAUCGUUGUCUGGUUCAAGGUCUCCACAUUAUGCGCCAUGCUCAUGCAUGGAGGCUUUCACGAUCUGCUUGACAUGGAGUGUAUUUGCUUGGUGAUCUCGGACCAGGCUUCAAUCCCUUUAAC